This 318-nucleotide long non-coding RNA is filed under the name Mytilus galloprovincialis (Mediterranean mussel). Lineage: Eukaryota; Metazoa; Mollusca; Bivalvia; Mytilida; Mytilidae. The record is from RNAcentral.
UCAUAGCCCUGUCUUAGAAACUUUUGAGAAAGCAGUAUUCCUCGUUCAACAAAAUCAACAUACUUUGAGCUAGCUCAAGAGUAAUGUAUCAAUUGAGACACAUAUACUCCAUAUGCUGGUGCCGCUGGGAUGUUGCUACACAGAAAUAGAAAGUUGACUAUAGGAAAAUUAAAAUCAUCGCGUUUGUCAUAAAUUUUGGUAUGCAACCUACCAUCAGUAGUCAUUUCGAGAAGAAGGUCUAAAUAUGAAGCAGAUUUAUCUGUGUCGGUAGUAUCUUUAAUUUCAAAUUCACUUGGAUAUAUUAAAUGUAAGUGAUCA